This 405-nucleotide ribosomal RNA is filed under the name Triticum aestivum (bread wheat). Its description in RNAcentral is "partial small subunit ribosomal RNA". The record is from RNAcentral. Lineage: Eukaryota; Viridiplantae; Streptophyta; Magnoliopsida; Poales; Poaceae.
CUUCUAGAUCAAUUUUCUGAAUCCACAGGUCUCCAGAUUAAUUUCCAAAAGAGUACGUUUGCUCCUAUCCACGUUGAUGAUGAUCUCUCUACCUACCUCGCCUCGAUCCUAGGAUGUAAUGUGGCCACCUUCCCCCAAUCCUACCUUGGCCUGCCGCUCUCUACAAAAAAGCUAAAGCUGGCUGAUUUCUUCUUCAUCAUCGAUAAGAUAGAUAGACGGCUGGCUGGUUGGCGUGGCCUUUUACUUUCCUUGGCCGGGAGGGCAAUCUUGGUGCGUGCCGCUCUUCGAGCCCUCCCGAUCUAUGCUAUGGGUGCGCUGUUGUUGCCGGCCGGAACGCUUCUAGAGAUUGAUAAAGGCUGUCGUGCAUUCUUCUGGUCUGGGCAAGACUCGAUUACUGGCGGGUAA